Molecule: long non-coding RNA, 469 nt
Organism: Phlebotomus papatasi
Lineage: Eukaryota; Metazoa; Arthropoda; Insecta; Diptera; Psychodidae
Exons: 3
Source: RefSeq, a predicted model, not a curated record
GUGGCGAUUUUUGGUUGUAGGAGCUCUUGUGUCAGUGGUGUUUGCGGUCAAAUUGGAGAAAUGUCCUGGGCCUCAACCACUUGGCUUCCGAUCAAAUGCGUGCAAUGAAACUCAUUGUUUUAUCUCACUUUCGUCUCCUAUUGGAUUUGAAGUAGAUGCCAAAAUAACUAAGAACACAAUCCAUGUCUUUCCGAGUAUUAUGUUUCUUUACUACGAGGAUGGUGUUCAGCGAGGAGAGCUUCCAAUUAACAUUGAUAUCAGGCGAGGAUGUAAAUUUAUUGUAUCCCAUACCUGUCCACUCAAAAAAGGUGAUAUCAUUACUUGGGCCAUGGAUUGGGACUUCCUUCCAGCUGAAGUAGCCAGAGUUGGUUCAACAUUUAAAGGACAAAUUGUCCUACAUGAUGAAUUUCAGAGGCAUGUUGUAUGUUUGAAAAUUAAUCUAAUUGUUACAAAAUAAAAUUUUUAGUAU